Hypanus sabinus (Atlantic stingray) is the source of this 998-nucleotide long non-coding RNA. RefSeq lists it as uncharacterized. The transcript has 3 exons. Lineage: Eukaryota; Metazoa; Chordata; Chondrichthyes; Myliobatiformes; Dasyatidae. The record is from RefSeq and is a predicted model, not a curated record.
GUUGAAGCGGGUCUGGAGCGGUGGAUUGUCCACGGGAUCCGGAUCGGGAGAGGGCGAGCCGCGGGGGCCGGUCGGAUCAUUCUCUGCGGAGCGGGACCGACAAGAUCCAUGCGUUAGACCUGUGGUGAGAGAUUUAUUGGAAGAAAAGCCCACAACUGGAAGCAAACCACGACUGAAGACGAGGGAACAGCAACAAGUGAACCAGCCCGAGGACGGAGAUCAUCAACUGGAGAGAACCCAUCUGACUCGGAGACUCCAGUAAUUCAGUCAGGAGAAAGUUUGGUUUCAGGCAGACGGAGGCAAAAGGAGUGAGUGGGAGCAACAGGUCAGCUGGAGCCCAGUGUGAGAUCACCCAGUUCUGUAGGAGAAACAAAAACUGUGUGUUUAAUGGUGAGGGACUGAGGUGCAGUGGGUAGGGAGGGAGGUAGAAGGUACAUUGGGUAGAAGGUGUGGGAAAAGGCUCCGAAGCAUUCAGGCUCUCAUGACCAGACUAUGUAACAGUUUCUUCCCCCAAGCUAUCAGACUCCUCAAUAGCCAGCACCUGGACUGACACCUUGCCCUAUUGUCCUGUUUAUUAUUUAUUGUAAUGCCUGCACUGUUUUUGUGCACUUUAUGCAGUCCUGUGUAGGUCUGUAGUCUGGUGUCGUUGUUGUGUUUGUUUUUUUUUUCUGCUAUGUGUUGUUUUUUUACGUACUUCAGUCUAGUUUUUGUAAUUAACACCAUGGUCCUGAAAAACGUUGUCUCAUUUUUACUAUGUACUGUACCAGCAGUUAUGGUCGCAAUGACAAUAAAAGUGACUUGUCUUGACAUUGUAUUUAUUGUAAGAGUUAUUAGGUAUAAGAGUGAAAAUGACUUUAACGAUUAUUUGGACUUUGUUGAGAUUGUACCUGGAAUAUGGUGUAAAAUCCCGCUCCCCAUACUAACACGGGUUAUACAGACCAAAGAACAAACUGCCGGAGGAACUCAGUGGGUCGGGCAGCAUCUGUGGAGGGAAAUGG